Prinia subflava (tawny-flanked prinia) is the source of this 3600-nucleotide long non-coding RNA. RefSeq lists it as uncharacterized. NCBI's taxonomy places the organism in Eukaryota, Metazoa, Chordata, Aves, Passeriformes, Cisticolidae. The transcript is spliced from 3 exons. The record is from RefSeq and is a predicted model, not a curated record.
GUGGCUGGAAAGCUCUGAGUGCUAAAGAAGAGUAUCUGGAGCCUUGAGAACUUUUAGCUCUACCAAAAGUCACACAAGAUGAACACAAAUCUGGAAAGCUCUGUAGAACUGUAAGUCCCACCCUCUGAAGUUCUACUCAUUUCCUCCAGACUUGUCAGAAUUUUGAUAUUGAAGGCUUCUGGAAGAAACAAAACAUUUCCAGCUGCAUUAGUCUUCAGUCCUGACUUGGGUAAGGACAGAAGGUUAGAGGUGGCCAGAGGGUUUCCAGAUCCACUGACUUGCCAAAUGUUCUACUUCUGGAAAUCACCAAGAACACAGAGGCAGGUAAUUACCCUCGUUAGGAACUGCCCCAGGUCACUGCUGCAGAGUUUGGCCAGUCUAACAGGGGUGGCCUGACAUGAAAAUCACACACACCUCUGGCUGGAGCUGCAGUGUUUAACAAAACCACAGGUGCCAGCUGAAGGUCUGUGCCAAAAAAGAACCCUCUUGCCAAGUGAGCUCUGCUGCCUGCAGUGACAGCACCGUUCUGUCAUCUGUGCUGGAUGCAGCCUGCAGUUUCUGAGGGGCACUCCAUCAUACCUGGAAUAGUUGCUGUUCAGAGACAUCAAUAACAAGGACGUUUGUAGUCUAUUCAUGCAAAUAUCGUACAUUAAGUUAAUUAUUAUCCCUUUAUACUUCUCAUUGCACCAUUUUUAAACUUUAUACACUAUCUUUUCCAGAAGUGUUUAAUGAGUUACUUUCAAUAAAGAAAUGCACACUUUCACUUUGGAAAGCAGGAAAGAGAAGACCCAGGAAAUGAAACACAGCUCUGAAAAAAACACAAGCAAUAACUGCUGAAAGAGAGCUGAACUGAAGAACCAGCAAAGCACCAGAAGCUGAGAAACACAAAGGAUGAUCUCACUGUCAAAGCAGCAACCACUCCAGCCAAGAUUUGGGAGCUGUGGGAGAGCCAUGCUGUCUUCUGCCAUCACCAUCUUCAAUGGAAGUUUUCCACGCCUCCCUUAAGAUUUUCUCUGAGCACCAGAGCCCAGCUGACAGGCAGUGGAGGGAUGAAAGCUCCGUGUCUCAUUCCAAAAGAGAUGGAACAAGAGGGCUGGAGCUGACUUGCUGUGAGAUAGCACAACACUUUGUCUCUUGGGACAGUCAUGGUGCCCACGUAUUACCUCACAUCAGAAUAAGGCAAAGUCAUUGCUCCAGAGCUGAAACAAUCCUGAACCAGGUGGAUUUCAAAUUGUAGCAAAUACCAGUGCUGGCUUUGAGGACUACAGCCCAAGACAUCAAUUUAACUAUGGUAGAAAGAUCACGGAUGCAAGAAGUCAAGAUUCUUACCCAUAACCUGAAGCCUUGAAAAUUUUAAUGCCAUUUCACUUGGCAAGGGAAAGGGUAAUAAGAUAACACAAUCCUUAACCUUAUUCUACUUUAUAAUUUCUUGCAAAAAUAUGCAAUUCCUGGACCAAGUUAUCUUUUUAGCAACAAAAAGAUGUGUUUAAGAAAAGACUAGAUGUGGCACUUGGUGCCAUGGUUUAGUUGAGUUUAGGGUUGGGUUGGACUUGAUGAUCUUGGAGGUCUCUUCCAACCUAAUGAUUCUGUGAUUCUGUAAUAAAUGUUCUUCUGACCAAGACUCAUUGGCAGCAGCAUGGCAUUAGCUGGGUGAUCUGCCAGGAAUGGACUCAGUAAUGCCACUUGAUCAGUCUUGAUCUUCAUCCCAACUUCUUUUAGACCUGGAAUUGAUAUGCAAAAGAUCCCAUCUGUGCUGUCCCAUGUAAAACUCAACAUUCAAGAGCACAAAACACAACUGCUCAGAAGUUAUACAGAUUCACUUGACCUCUUAUUAAAUGCAAGAAUUAGUGUUGGGCUUUAUCCUUCUUCCUUGAGCAUUUCCUGGCAGCAUCAACUCCUCCUGUCACUCAUCUUUCAGGGAUAUUUUGUUGUUGGUCUACAUGCAGAAACACUUUCUCAUAAGACACAUCUAUAACUGAAGGUUAUCUCUAGAAUUAUAGACUCAGCUUUAAAGACAAAGUCACAAAUCCUGUCACUGACAUCUAGGACCCUGGACAGACACAUAGCCAAAAAUGUCACGGUAUAUAAUGUUAUACAACUCACAAUUAAAUUAUAUAAAGAUCGUCAUGGCAAGAAACAAAGUUCUCUAACAAGUUAACACUCAGCCAUGCCUCUUCCAGUCUGCAGUUACAAAAUAAAGAAGUCAUAGGAGUCCUGAGUCUACAGAAAAAAUUAUACACAGGGUGCGGCCUUGCGUUCCAAAAUGAUUUUUCCACAAACUGAUGAAAAACAGGUUGACAGCAACUAUUUGUAAUCCAUCAGUAAAUCAAUUUUUUCCUGUAGAGUUCUGGGUUGUAAUGAACUUGUUCAUUCUGAGUACUCUGAUCUUACAGAUUGAAACAUGAAUCUUCUUGUUGUGGUAUGGUUUACACAGAGGGAAGUACAGUUUUGUGGGAACUAGCUUUAUCCAUAUUAAAAAAAGAAAAAAGAAAAAAGAAAAAAGAAAAAAGAUUUGAGUCCCUUCUCAGGACUGGAGUUUGCUGUCUAUUAGGUUGUGGUUGAAGCAGCUCUUAAAUCUGGGGGUUUUAUAUAGGCUCUUCAAAUCGUAAACUCACUUCCACAAUUUCUUUUAAAAAUGUUCUGUGGAGGGGGUUUUCAUUUUGAUGGGACAGCAUCACUGCUGCUGAAUUUGUUUACCUGGAUGUAUUGCACUGAACUUUAGGCCUUUAAAUUGAUUUCUCUUCACGUUAAUAAAAUUCUCUGAUGUUAAAAUGAGUUUAUUACAUUUAUGCAUUUGUUGGCCAGGUAAGAUCAAUAUUAAAGGUAGGACCUGUAAAAGUUGGUGAGUUUGCUCUGGAAUUUAGAAGAUUAGUAGCACAUAAAAGUCCAUGUUGCUGCUUAUAGGAUGGCCUGUAGUUCAUGCAUUCCUCCUUCUUGCAGAAACUGAUCCAAAUAUUUUUUGGAUACUCAGGUACCAUGAAGGUGAUUUAAUGGUGUUCAUAUUUCUGGGGGAUUUGACACUCUGCAGUUCAUAGCCUGGAACAUUUCCUAACCUGUGUCAUGGGUAAUGUAACCAAAAAAUGUGUUUUCUAUUUCAUGUGUUGAAACCAGAUUGAGGAGAUUUUUUUCCCUUUAUCUCUUGUAACUCCAGGGGGAGGAGGGUGGAUGCCUUCUGAUAACAGCCCAGCUGUUAAACCAGGUGGGGCAGUGUUUGUGAUCUCUGUCACCACUGCCCACCCUCGGGGAUAUCUUCUGUUCAUGGGCCAUUGAGGCUCACCAGUGACUGACACGUUCCAUCAUCCAUUGGGAGAUGGAACACCCAGUGGGGAGCACCCAACCAUUCCUACCCAGAUAAAAACGGGGACACAGGGACCCCAGACAUUCCUCUUUUCCACUGGAUUCCCAGAGGAAGACUGGACUCAUCUCAGCACCACUGAACCUGUCUGCAGGAUCAUCUCUACUCCAACAGAGCCACAUCUGUCACUCCAGGAGGAUUUAUUUGGACUGCUUCCAACACCCUGACAACAGGGUGUCAGGUCAUAUCCCUGACUCUGUCAGGUUUUCUAGGACUUUUGUUUGUUUUCUUGCCUUUUUUUAAUU